GGAAAAGGAUAUGCAAGAAAAAUCGCUUUUGAAGGAAUAAAGUUUGUGGAUGUUCAUCACCCUGUUCAAAUAGAUCAAUAUUACUGCCCCUCUAGGGUUAAUUGCCAAAACUUUACGUCGACAGUUGCUAUAAGUGACAUAUCGUACACUGCUAUUACUGGGACCUCACUGGAUGAGCAGGUGAUUGAUCUGAGUUGCAGCCAAAGCGUUGGGUGCACCAAUAUUAAACUGGAUAGGGUUUAUAUUACAUCAUCAACUCCAGGAAAGAAAGUUUAUGCAAACUGUGUCAAUGCUCAUGGAAAAUCUAGCCAUACAAGACCUGCCGUCAAUUGCCUGCUACCAUAGAAACUCAUUCUCCAUUUUUCUUAUUAACUUCUUAAUUCCAGCUGUUAUUGUAAUCUGUUAUAAAUUAUUGUUUGCCUGCUGGUAAUAACAACUUGAAGACUCGUUAUUAAUUACUAUGUUAUGUUUUUUACUUCAUUCUUAUAUAAUUAUGUACUCGUAUUCCAUA
Molecule: long non-coding RNA, 511 nt
Organism: Olea europaea var. sylvestris
Lineage: Eukaryota; Viridiplantae; Streptophyta; Magnoliopsida; Lamiales; Oleaceae
Exons: 2
Source: RefSeq, a predicted model, not a curated record